RNAcentral lists this ribosomal RNA (468 nucleotides) under uncultured bacterium. RNAcentral's name for it is "partial 16S ribosomal RNA". It matches the Rfam family "Bacterial small subunit ribosomal RNA", at positions 28 to 507 of the family's 1533-position model. The record is from RNAcentral.
GAUGAACGCUGGCGGCGUGCUUAACACAUGCAAGUCGAACGGAAAGGCCCAAGCUUGCUUGGGUACUCGAGUGGCGAACGGGUGAGUAACACGUGGGUGAUCUGCCCUGCACUUCGGGAUAAGCCUGGGAAACUAGGUCUAAUACCGGAUAGGACGAUGGUUUGGAUGCCAUUGUGGAAAGUUUUUUCGGUGUGGGAUGAGCUCGCGGCCUAUCAGCUUGUUGGUGGGGUAAUGGCCUACCAAGGCGUCGACGGGUAGCCGGCCUGAGAGGGUGUACGGCCACAUUGGGACUGAGAUACGGCCCAGACUCCUACGGGAGGCAGCAAUGGGGAAUAUUGCACAAUGGGCGCAAGCCUGAUGCAGCGACGCCGCGUGGGGGAUGACGGCCUUCGGGUUGUAAACUCCUUUCGCUAGGGACGAAGCGUUUUUGUGACGGUACCUGGAGAAGAAGCACCGGCUAACUACGUG